AUGAAUUGCUGUUCUCAGGCAGGAGAAGAAAGGUUGGUUGCUUAUGCUGGUUCCAAGAAAAAUGACUGUUACAGAGUUCAAAAAGGAAUGAAACCAAAUAGAAUGUUUUUGUUUAAAAGAACUAUGUUCCAAUUCCAGCUUUCAUGCGGUCAUCUGGAAAGCCCUGCAGACAGAUCAUAAGGUGGGUAAGGAAUGAUGGUGCUUUAAAAUUGGUUAUGGCUCUCCAGAUAACCAAAGCUAU
RNAcentral lists this long non-coding RNA (241 nucleotides) under Pogona vitticeps (central bearded dragon). RNAcentral describes it as "lncRNA (ENSPVIG00000004347.1)". Lineage: Eukaryota; Metazoa; Chordata; Lepidosauria; Squamata; Agamidae. The record is from RNAcentral.